UCAUUCAUCAUAGAACCGCCACCGCCAAUGCCACCGGAUGAUGAUGUCGUGGAGAAUAUGAUGGGGAAACCGCCACUUCCACCGCCACCGGUGCUGAACGGCGGAAAUGCCUCGGAUGUGAAGGAGAGGAAAGGAUUCGGAACGGGGCUAGGGUUAGGGUUUGGGCUUUCCAUUUCUUCAACGAAGCUAUCGUUGCAGUUGGGGCAUAAAAGAUCGGAGGAUGAUGAGGGAGUAAUGGUUACCGUACGAUUGCAGGUAUAGCAGAAGUAGAGCUGAGGGGCAUGGGAGGCGGCGCCACCGCCCGCUCCGUCGCCAGAG
RNAcentral lists this unclassified non-coding RNA (318 nucleotides) under Hevea brasiliensis (rubber tree). The record is from RNAcentral. Lineage: Eukaryota; Viridiplantae; Streptophyta; Magnoliopsida; Malpighiales; Euphorbiaceae.